CCCACCCUACCUACUAAGGAUGUCAAUAGGUAUAGAUAUCCAAAAUUUUAUUCGAACUCGAAUCCGAAUGAAACAGAUAUAUUCGAUGGAUAUGGUUAUAAAAAAUAGAAAUUCGACGGAUAUACAUUCGGAUAUGAAUUUUGAUUGUACCCGAUCCGAACCCGAACUCGGUCUGAAUCCGAAUUUAUUUUGUAUUAUAUAUAUAUAUAUAGAGUUGAUCUAUGAUACUUUUACAAGUAUCAUCCCCAUGUUGCUAUCACGUUUUUAGCCAUUGGAUCUACUUUUUGAUUACAAAUAACCCUGGGAUCAAACACUAUUCCACCUACCACCACCUACCACCACCUACCACCAUCAUCUCAACCUCACAUCUCUCCAUCCAAGGACUAAAAACACACAAGUAUCACUUGGAUGAUACUUGUAAAAGUAUUCUAGCCCUACUAUA
RNAcentral lists this long non-coding RNA (442 nucleotides) under Ananas comosus (pineapple). Its description in RNAcentral is "long non-coding RNA (ACOM_LNC018736)". Lineage: Eukaryota; Viridiplantae; Streptophyta; Magnoliopsida; Poales; Bromeliaceae. The record is from RNAcentral.